AGUGAACGCUGGCGGUAGGCCUAACACAUGCAAGUCGAACGGCAGCACAGAGGAGCUUGCUCCUUGGGUGGCGAGUGGCGGACGGGUGAGGAAUACAUCGGAAUCUACUCUGUCGUGGGGAUAACGUAGGGAAACUUACGCUAAUACCGCAUACGACCUACGGGUGAAAGCAGGGGAUCUUCGGACCUUGCGCGAUUGAAUGAGCCGAUGUCGGAUUAGCUAGUUGGCGGGGUAAAGGCCCACCAAGGCGACGAUCCGUAGCUGGUCUGAGAGGAUGAUCAGCCGCAGUGGAACUGAGAGACGGGCCAGACUCCUACGGGAGGCAGCAGUGGGGAAUAGUGGACAAUGGGCGCAAGCCUGAUCCAGCCAUACCGCGUGGGUGAAGAAGGCCUUCGGGUUGUAAAGCCCUUUUGUUGGGAAAGAAAUCCAUCUGGUUAAUACCCGGGUGGGAUGACGGUACCCAAAGAAUAAGCACCGGCUAACUUCGUGCCAGCCGCCGCCGUAA
RNAcentral lists this ribosomal RNA (505 nucleotides) under uncultured bacterium. Its description in RNAcentral is "partial 16S ribosomal RNA". It matches the Rfam family "Bacterial small subunit ribosomal RNA", at positions 29 to 523 of the family's 1533-position model. The record is from RNAcentral.